UUUCGCAAUGCCCGAAAGGGUGACGAAGCGACGCCGCGUGGGUGAGGAAGGCCUUCGGGUUGUAAAGCCCUGUCAGGAGUUAAGAAAUGUAAGUGCGCUAAUACCGCAUUUAUUUGACGAAGGCUCCAAAGGAAGUCACGGCUAACUCUGUGCCAGCAGCCGCGGUAAUACAGAGGUGGCAAGCGUUGUUCGGAAUUAUUGGGCGUAAAGAGCACGUAGGUGGGUUUGUAAGUCAGAUGUGAAAGCCUCCUGUUCAACGGGAGAAUUGCAUCUGAAACUACAGAUCUUGAGUGUAGGAGGGGAGAAUGGAACUUCUGGUGGAGCGGUGAAAUGCGUAGAUAUCAGAAGGAACGCCGGCGGCGAAAGCGAUUCUCUGGCCUAUUACUGACACUCAGUGUGCGAAAGCUAGGGUAGCAAACGGGAUUAGACACCCCGGUAGUCCUAGCCGUAAACGAUGGGCACUAAGUAGAGGGGUUUUA
This 479-nucleotide ribosomal RNA is filed under the name uncultured anaerobic ammonium-oxidizing bacterium. RNAcentral's name for it is "bacterial SSU rRNA". It matches the Rfam family "Bacterial small subunit ribosomal RNA", at positions 364 to 833 of the family's 1533-position model. The record is from RNAcentral.